RNAcentral lists this ribosomal RNA (495 nucleotides) under uncultured bacterium. RNAcentral describes it as "partial 16S ribosomal RNA". It matches the Rfam family "Bacterial small subunit ribosomal RNA", at positions 28 to 507 of the family's 1533-position model. The record is from RNAcentral.
GACGAACGCUGGCGGCGUGCCUAAUACAUGCAAGUAGAACGCUGAAGGAGGAGCUUGCUUCUCUGGAUGAGUUGCGAACGGGUGAGUAACGCGUAGGUAACCUGCCUGGUAGCGGGGGAUAACUAUUGGAAACGAUAGCUAAUACCGCAUAAUAGCAGUUGUUGCAUGACAACUGUUUGAAAGGUGCAAUUGCACCACUACCAGAUGGACCUGCGUUGUAUUAGCUAGUUGGUGGGGUAACGGCUCACCAAGGCGACGAUACAUAGCCGACCUGAGAGGGUGAUCGGCCACACUGGGACUGAGACACGGCCCAGACUCCUACGGGAGGCAGCAGUAGGGAAUCUUCGGCAAUGGACGGAAGUCUGACCGAGCAACGCCGCGUGAGUGAAGAAGGUCUUCGGAUCGUAAAGCUCGGUUGUAAGAGAAGAACGAGUGUGAGAGUGGAAAGUUCACACUGUGACGGUAUCUUACCAGAAAGGGACGGCUAACUACGUG